This 489-nucleotide ribosomal RNA is filed under the name Triticum aestivum (bread wheat). RNAcentral describes it as "partial small subunit ribosomal RNA". Lineage: Eukaryota; Viridiplantae; Streptophyta; Magnoliopsida; Poales; Poaceae. The record is from RNAcentral.
AUGCAGUUCUUCACCGUUCCUCCGGUCAUGCUGCAUCUGUUCCUGCUGCUCUUCUUGGCCUCUCCCGCUACCGCAUGCACCGAGCAGGAGAAGCGCAACCUCCUCCAGUUCCUUGCCGGGCUAUCGCAAGAAGCGGCUCAUGUCCUCUGCAAGCAUCAUGUCCUCUACAACUCCUUCUCUUGUGGCCUUCCUCCGGAGCUCAUGUCCUCUGCAAGCACCAUCGUCCUUGACGUCAGCUUCAGCCAGCUAAAUGGACCGCUGCCCGAGCUGCCAUCUUUGGUCACCGCCGACAGUGGUGACAGGCCUCUGCAGGUACUCAACAUCUCAAGCAACCAAUUCAGCUCAGAAUUUCCAUCAGCCAUAUGGAAGAAGACGAAGAAUCUGAUCGUGCUCAACGCCAGCAACAACAGCUUCACUGGGCACAUACCAUCUUCUCUUUGCCUUGGUCGCCAUCUUUGGCUUUGCUUGACCUCUGUUACAACCGAUUGA